RNAcentral lists this ribosomal RNA (253 nucleotides) under uncultured bacterium. RNAcentral's name for it is "partial 16S ribosomal RNA". It matches the Rfam family "Bacterial small subunit ribosomal RNA", at positions 524 to 776 of the family's 1533-position model. The record is from RNAcentral.
UACAGAGGUCUCAAGCGUUGUUCGGAUUCAUUGGGCGUAAAGGGUGUGUAGGUGGCGCCGUAAGUCGGGUGUGAAAUUUCGGAGCUUAACUCCGAAACUGCAUUCGAUACUACCGUGCUUGAGGACUGGAGAGGAGACUGGAAUUUACGGUGUAGCGGUGAAAUGCGUAGAUAUCGUAAGGAAGACCAGUGGCGAAGGCGGGUCUCUGGACAGUUCCUGACGCUGAGGCACGAAGGUCAGGGGAGCAAACGGG